AGGACGCAGUGCUGCUGGAUGGGGGUCCACCCUCCUUGCCUCAACUGGCUGUGUCUGCAUCGAUCCCAUCUCCAGGAGCCCCGGGGCACGUCUCCAGCCACAGAGGAGAGGCGAGGAGGAGUCUGGCGGGUUUUUCUGGGAGAGCGGAGUGAAUAGCUGGCCUGACUCAGCUGCUGCCAAACCUGGAGACCAGGAAGAGGGAGCUAAAGACCCCCAGCCAACGCCAAGCAGGGCAGAUGCGCCGAGGGCAAUAGAAGUCAAUCGCCUUGUGAGUCUGGAGGCCCGGAUUUCGCAAGAAGGCACUGGCAGUGCUGGCCACUUCAGAGGCUCCACGGUAGGUGACAGCCUGCCUCCCUCCACCCUGUCAUUCUCUGCUGGGGGCACAUCACUCCAGUCCUGGCUCCACAUCACUGGGCACUCUGCCAAUUUUCCUGGGCCAGACCCAUCUUCCAAGGAUGCACUCAUGCCGACUGGGCUGGCCACAGAGACCCCUUUCCAGACAAGGUUACGUCCACUGCACAGGACUGGGACUUUGGCCUGUGAUUUUGGGAUCCACAGCAGCGAUGGCAGACCUCCUGGCACCAUGAGUGGGCACGAAGGAGGGCACUGUGCUCCAGGGGCUGCAGGGGCUGGGCAGAGAACGACAGGGCUUUCUGCUUGGCCACCCCGGGUCCACCUUCUGGGGUAGAGACAGCGUUUUCCUGUCUUGAGGAGGGAUAGGUAGCUGACUGGGGUCGCACAGGGGGCCUCCCAGGUGUGAGGUCCAGGUGCCCUUUUUACGCUCGACGUGAGCUGCCCAGGAUUAUCGAAGAGCAGCUGGCUCCAGACGGAACAAGGUCCGGGGCCAACAGUCCAGCACUGCCCUCCAGGAACCUGGACCACGUUCCUGAGGAGCCUCCUGUUUCCAACCAGCCACAAGCUGAGGUGAGGCUGGGGGAGCCUGAGAGUCCAUGCCAAGCUGAGGGACCCUGAUGCCCAGGAACUGAAGGCCGCAGGCAGAGGUCCAGGGCGGCACUCCAUGGACAGGGGGAUGUCCUGACAGGAGGCAGGGUCCACAGGAGGCGGGACCAGCAACGUGGUCUGUGGGGCCUGUGCCAAGGGACAGCCUCAGGGAAUCAGUGAGAAUGUCAAGGUGGCGGCAGAGUGUCAGGGGUGCAGGGCCUCCUGAGCAUGGCCACCAACCCUGCAGGGACUCCUGCGUGGUCCUGCCACCUGUCCUCCUACACCUGGGGCUCCUGGGGCCCUCCUGGAGCUGGGUUCAGGACACUGCAGGAAGGGGUGCAUGGCCAGAGCUGCCUCAUGUGGCCGUAUCUGACCCAGUCCCUUGGGCCCCGCAACUGAGCAGGUCUCGGAGGACAGCAGAGGGAAGCGCCUGCCUAGCUCCCCCCUGCAGGCCAUGGCUGCUGCUGCUGAGAGGACUUCACGGGGCCAGAAACCAGCUUCUGAGUGCCUUCUUGUGGGGAGAAGAUCUGCUGAUCCAGUCCUAGCAUUGAGGUGACCACCUCCCAGGCCUCGCACCCAGCACCCCAUGACCACAUGUCUGCCCUGUGUAUUCUGCCUGAGCCCCAGGAAAUUGUCUCCAUUUCUUCAGAGAAAUGCAGCACAGAACCAUCGGCAUUCCCCCAGCCCUGCCCCCCUGGUGCCCUGCGUGGAGGACAGGGCCACCAACAGAUCCUGACUCUUUCCCUGGUGCCCUGCGUGGGGGACAGGGAUGAAACACACCCCUGACUCUUCCCUGGUGUCCUGUGUAGAGGACAGAGCCACCAACAUGCCCUGACUCUCCCCCUGGUGCCCUGCGUGGGGGACAGGGCCACCAACACGCCCCUGACUGUCCCCCUGGUGCCCUGCGUGGGGGACAGGGCCACCAACACGCCCCUGACUCUCCCCCUGGUGCCCUGCGUGGGGGACAGGGCCACUUGCAUGACUGGACACAUCUAGGAGGAAGACUUUGGAGUGUCUGUCCACGGGAGCUGGCCGGGUGGUGGUGGCUUUAUCCUUUCUUCCUGCCCAGGGUUUGGAGUGUUGGCACAUGGAAGGUUUAAAUAUGUCAGCUCUGGGGCCACAAAGUAAACACCACAUAUUUUCCUAGUC
Marmota monax (woodchuck) is the source of this 2091-nucleotide long non-coding RNA. RefSeq lists it as uncharacterized. The record is from RefSeq and is a predicted model, not a curated record. The transcript is spliced from 2 exons. Lineage: Eukaryota; Metazoa; Chordata; Mammalia; Rodentia; Sciuridae.